This 396-nucleotide ribosomal RNA is filed under the name uncultured bacterium. Its description in RNAcentral is "partial 16S ribosomal RNA". It matches the Rfam family "Bacterial small subunit ribosomal RNA", at positions 523 to 918 of the family's 1533-position model. The record is from RNAcentral.
AUACGUAGGGGCGAGCGUUAUCCGGAUUUAUUGGGCGUAAAGCGUGUGUAGGCGGUCUUGCAAGUCAGAAGUGAAAUUCCUGAGCUCAACUCGGGCGCUGCUUCUGAAACUGCAGGACUUGAGUGCUGGAGGGGAUAGCGGAAUUCCUAGUGGAGCGGUAAAAUGCGCAGAUAUUAGGAAGAACACCGGUGGCGAAGGCGGCUAUCUGGACAGUAACUGACGCUGAGGCGCGAAAGCACGGGGAGCAAACAGGAUUAGAUACCCUGGUAGUCCGUGCCGUAAACGAUGAAUACUAGGUGUAGGGGGUAUCGACUCCCUCUGUGCCGCAGUUAACACAUUAAGUAUUCCACCUGGGGAGUACGGCCGCAAGGUUGAAACUCAAAUGAAUUGACGGGG